Chania multitudinisentens RB-25 is the source of this 87-nucleotide non-coding RNA. Lineage: Bacteria; Pseudomonadati; Pseudomonadota; Gammaproteobacteria; Enterobacterales; Yersiniaceae. The record is from Rfam.
GUUUUUAUAAUUAACGCCUGAAAAUAACCCAAUCAUUUACGCAGCAGCAACGUAAAAGGAUGAAGGUGAUUUCGGGCCACUUGGAAG